GUAAUCUGUUCAGCAAAAGAAUUAAUUUUAUUUUACUAGUAAUUUAUAUACCAAAUUGGAUGCCUAGAGUUGGGCUAGAAUACUAUUAAUAGUAUUUGCCCCUUUUUACUAUCAUUUUUUUAGUUUUUGAAUCAAUUUUUUUGAUCAUUUUUAAUUAUUAGAUUAAAUAUUAUAACUCAGUGAGAACCACUCAAUCCUAGAAGGACCACUCAGUUCUAAGAGACUAAUAUCAUCUUAAUCCUACAAUUUUUUAUCAAAAUAUUAAAAAUUUAAUAGUAAAAAAAGUUAAAUACUAUCAAUAGUAUACCAGCUCAACU
This 317-nucleotide long non-coding RNA is filed under the name Ananas comosus (pineapple). RNAcentral's name for it is "long non-coding RNA (ACOM_LNC002627)". The record is from RNAcentral. Lineage: Eukaryota; Viridiplantae; Streptophyta; Magnoliopsida; Poales; Bromeliaceae.